Molecule: ribosomal RNA, 446 nt
Filed under: uncultured bacterium
Lineage: Bacteria
Description: partial 16S ribosomal RNA
Rfam family: Bacterial small subunit ribosomal RNA
Source: RNAcentral
CCCAGACUCCUACGGGAGGCAGCAGUGGGGAAUAUUGCACAAUGGGGGGAACCCUGAUGCAGCGACGCCGCGUGGGUGAAGAAGUCAUUCGUGACGUAAAGCCCUAUCAGCAGGGAAGAAAAUGACGGUACCUGACUAAGAAGCCCCGGCUAACUACGUGCCAGCAGCCGCGGUAAUACGUAGGGGGCAAGCGUUAUCCGGAUUUACUGGGUGUAAAGGGAGCGUAGACGGCUAAUCAAGUCAGAAGUGAAAACCCAGGGCUCAACUUUGGGACUGCUUUUGAAACUGAGUAGCUAGAGUGCAGGAGAGGUAAGCGGAAUUCCUAGUGUAGCGGUGAAAUGCGUAGAUAUUAGGAGGAACACCAGUGGCGAAGGCGGCUUACUGGACUGUAACUGACGUUGAGGCUCGAAAGCGUGGGGAGCAAACAGGAUUAGAUACCCCGGUAA